RNAcentral lists this ribosomal RNA (499 nucleotides) under uncultured bacterium. RNAcentral describes it as "bacterial SSU rRNA". It matches the Rfam family "Bacterial small subunit ribosomal RNA", at positions 28 to 508 of the family's 1533-position model. The record is from RNAcentral.
GACGAACGCUGGCGGCGUGCCUAAUACAUGCAAGUCGAGCGGACCUUUUAAAAGCUUGCUUUUGAAAGGUUAGCGGCGGACGGGUGAGUAACACGUGGGCAACCUGCCCUAUAGUUUGGGAUAACUCCGGGAAACCGGGGCUAAUACCGGAUAAUACAAUUUAGCUCCUGCUAGAUUGUUGAAAGAUGGUUUCGGCUAUCGCUAUAGGAUGGGCCCGCGGCGCAUUAGCUAGUUGGUAGGGUAACGGCCUACCAAGGCGACGAUGCGUAGCCGACCUGAGAGGGUGAUCGGCCACACUGGGACUGAGACACGGCCCAGACUCCUACGGGAGGCAGCAGUAGGGAAUCUUCCACAAUGGACGAAAGUCUGAUGGAGCAACGCCGCGUGAGUGAAGAAGGUUUUCGGAUCGUAAAACUCUGUUGUAAGGGAAGAACAAGUACAGUAGUAACUGGCUGUACCUUGACGGUACCUUAUUAGAAAGCCACGGCUAACUACGUGC